This 221-nucleotide ribosomal RNA is filed under the name uncultured bacterium. RNAcentral's name for it is "partial 16S ribosomal RNA". It matches the Rfam family "Bacterial small subunit ribosomal RNA", at positions 113 to 334 of the family's 1533-position model. The record is from RNAcentral.
CGACGUGGAUAACCUGCCUCACACAGGGGGAUAACAGUUAGAAAUGACUGCUAAUACCGCAUAAGCGCACGGCAUCGCAUGAUGCAGUGUGAAAAACUCCGGUGGUGUGAGAUGGAUCCGCGUCUGAUUAGCCAGUUGGCGGGGUAACGGCCCACCAAAGCGACGAUCAGUAGCCGACCUGAGAGGGUGACCGGCCACAUUGGGACUGAGACACGGCCCAA